This 739-nucleotide long non-coding RNA is filed under the name Mytilus galloprovincialis (Mediterranean mussel). Lineage: Eukaryota; Metazoa; Mollusca; Bivalvia; Mytilida; Mytilidae. The record is from RNAcentral.
AGUUCUGAAAUUUUGAUAUUUUACUUUUUUUUCAUAAAUACUUACUUGUGUAAAAUAUCUAUUUUGAACGUUCAUUUUUGAAUCCUACAAUAUUGACACAGACAGAGAAUUAUAUAAAGUUCACUAUCUCUAAAGUCAUGCACUUAUUAAAACGAAUAAAAUAUGAUGGUGUAUCUGCAUACAUAACUGCUGGGUACACGGGCACAGGACGUUUUCGCUUUUUUACCUGUAAAACGAUAGGACAUUUGCGCUUCAAAUACUAUGGACAUUUGGACUGUUCCGGAGUACACAGUCUGGAUUUAUUAUUAUGGAUUAUUGUAACCCCAAUAACUGCUUGCUGUUUCUUCAGUAGUUUUACUUUGUGGUUGUCAUGAUUGUACCAAUUGAAUAGUUUUGUAGGUAUGUUAUUGUGAGUAUGUUAAUGUUGCUGGACAAUUAAUUUAAGUGUAUAUCAUGUAUAUUUAGUCUGGAUUUAACUCUGAACUGGUACCCACAUGACACACUGUGGAUUAAAUUCAGACUGCUGCCUAGUCUAUUUGUAACAAACUGAAUAUCUAUAUAUCUACAACAAUUAGUCUAAGAUGCAUGAUUUUUUUAAUUUUUUUUUUUACAAUUAGUGACACAACAUGUAACCAUAAAACUGACUUGCACAUAAAGUUAUAUUUUAAUAAAAAAAACACCACAAACCGAUACAUUAAAGCACUUAUUUCUUAAUUAAAACAAAGUAAUUAAAGGCUGC